CCACACAGAGGACUGGUCCCUAUGCAUAGAACUGGUCAACUAAGAGAGGACUGGUUUCCUCACAGAGGACUGGUUUCCUCACAGAGGCCUGAUCACCUCACAGAGGACUGGUUUCCUCACAGAGGCCUGAUCACCUCACAGAGGACUGGUCACCUCACAGAGGCCUGGUCACCUCACAGAGGACUGGUCACUUCACAGAGGCCUGGUCACCUCACAAAAGCCUGGUCACCUCACAGAGGACUGGUCACCUCACAGAGGACUGGUCACCUCACAGAGGCCUGGUUGCCUUUCAGAGGCUUGGCUACCUCAUGGAGGACUGAUCACCUCACAUAGUACUGGUUACUACAUGUAGGCUUGGUCACCUCACAGAGGACUGGUCACCUCACAGAGGACUGGUCACUUCACAGAAGCUGAGUCCCCACAGAAAGUAUUGUCAUCUUAUAGAAACCUGAUUACCUCACAGGUGGCUGAUCAUCUUAAAAAAAACCUGGUCACCUCACAGGCCUAGAUAUGUAUAAAGUAGCCAGAGGCCUGGCCUUUGUAAACAGCUUAUCCCAGGAAUGUAGAUAUAGUUUAGGCCUAAGUAGCACCACCAAUCACUGCUUUAAAGGAAAAUGGCCAACUCACCCAUGCCCAUGCUGACAAAGAAUUCAGAAGACAUCCUGGUUCGGAGUCCAGAAAACAGAACCUCUUCAGAAGAUAUGGAAUCAAGGAAAUGAGGGAUAUCAGCAAUCCAGUCCAAAACAUCAAACACGAAUCAGUAGCAGACAUCCAGUCCAACAGACAAACAUCAAACAGAAUUUGUUCCAGCGGUUUGAUCCAGAAGAAACCGUAAGGCUCCGCUGAAUCAACAAGAGUCUGCAGAAGCAGCCAGAAGCAGCUGGAAUACCAAGAGAAAGAAGGUCUUUGGUCCUUUUCUGUCUGUGAAGUCACCACAAGUGAAGACCAGCAAAGACCAGCAAAGCGUUGCCAGAGAGCCAAUACAAGAACAUCGUCGUCACUGUCUGUUGAGUUAUACUUAUACUGAUUCCAAACAUCAUACUCCCUCUCAAGUAUCUACCUCAUAAGACAGCUUCCAGAAGAACAUAGCAUGACACAACUGAGUCUCCAAAGAAACCAGACAUCCCCACUUCACUGGAGACCUGAGAAUCUGUGACGUUUUCAUGGAGGUCCAGAUGAGGCUUCUGGAGGCUUCUCCAGCUGCUACUGAGCCCAUGUGAGACUAGACCACAACUGCUGGACUGGAUCAAAAUCAACAUGACGGGGUGCCGGUCAGACUCUCUGCAGGCAGAACCAGGCGAAAGGGAGAGAACCCAGGACAGCCGAGCCUCUUGGGCCUGAGCGGGAUGGAAGCAGAGGCAGCAUCCAGGAGUGUGGGGACAGGUAACUGGUUACUGUUCAUCAUAGACAGUAUGAAUGCAUUCCCUCUCAUAAAAGAAAUGUAAGUAUAAAAGCACAGUGUUUUGGAAGAGGCAACUGUGUCAGGGUGCAUGCCAGUCCUGCAGCGUCUGUGGACAAACAGCAAUUCGAGAACAAUGGACUCACUUAAACCCUCAUUAAAAAGACUAGAUGCUUGUGUGGA
This is a long non-coding RNA of Mastomys coucha (southern multimammate mouse), 1582 nucleotides long. RefSeq lists it as uncharacterized. NCBI's taxonomy places the organism in Eukaryota, Metazoa, Chordata, Mammalia, Rodentia, Muridae. The record is from RefSeq and is a predicted model, not a curated record. The transcript is spliced from 3 exons.